AAAUUGAAGAGUUUGAUCAUGGCUCAGAUUGAACGCUGGCGGCAGGCCUAACACAUGCAAGUCGAACGGUAACAGUAAGAAGCUUGCUUCUUUGCUGACGAGUGGCGGACGGGUGAGUAAUGUCUGGGAAACUGCCUGAUGGAGGGGGAUAACUACUGGAAACGGUAGCUAAUACCGCAUAACGUCGCAAGACCAAAGAGGGGGACCUUCGGGCCUCUUGCCAUCGGAUGUGCCCAGAUGGGAUUAGCUUGUUGGUGGGGUAACGG
Molecule: ribosomal RNA, 266 nt
Filed under: Escherichia coli
Lineage: Bacteria; Pseudomonadati; Pseudomonadota; Gammaproteobacteria; Enterobacterales; Enterobacteriaceae
Description: partial 16S ribosomal RNA
Rfam family: Bacterial small subunit ribosomal RNA
Source: RNAcentral